CAAUGCGGACUGUCAUGCAUUUUUACUAUUACCAACAAGACAACGAAGUGAUACGUGUCAUGGAGACUAAAAACGGAUACUUUCCAAACACCAAAAGUUCCUACGCUGAGCGAUAUUGUUUACUACACUAUUAUUCAUACAAUCCAAGUCAUACGUUUAUUGUCAUUCAUACUCUUAUUUUUAACCGAAUAUCUUUUCAAAAGUGUCCAUUCUGUCAAUUCAGAGCUUGGAAAAAAAUUUGAAUAAUGUGCUUAAGGGGACUGACACUCAAGCCGCACAACAGGAUAACAAAACAACCACAUUUUCAAUUGACAAUCAUUGCUUUAAAUGGAUGUGGUCGAUAGAUUUGUAUAGGUGUAGCAGUGUGAUGUUGUUCCCCUAUAUUAUGCACCAAAUUGCACACAAGGACCAAUUCAAAUCGGCCAGGUCAAGAGGGGAUGUUAAUAAUUUGAUAAUAAUACUAAUAAUUCAGUGUAUUUUUUAAAAUUUAAUUACAGCUGCAUAGCUAAAGUGUACAAACACUUUGUUACAAUGUGGAUAAUAUAAAGAUAUUGUAUAGGCAUAUAUAAACAAUGUAUUUAACUUGGAAACCAAGGUUGGAUUAGUUGGUCUAAGCAACAUGCACCUGGAUAAUCGGGUCAUGAAUCUGGACGGGCUCCUACAUCCUCAUAUACACAUUAUGACAAAAUAAAGAGUUUAAUGUUUCACGAAAUAAAGACAUAGAUGCAUACCCAAUUAUACAGGUUCUACACAUUCCAUUUCUCCAUGGCAAUAUAAUGUAAACAUUCUAUUUUGUGCCAAACAUCCCUACAACUCAAUUCUAAGUGCAGCAUAUUGGAGGACUCCAGCCAUUGAUCAUUCGCGACUUUAAGUCAUUCCUGUUAUCUCUAGAGCAUCUCGUAUAUCUAUAGCGCUGCAUUUCUUCCCCAUCUUACCAUGGAUAGGGUUUGGUGCAUUCCGGAGUUCAGUUAUUGUCCCACAAAGGUAAUCUUAGGAGAAAUUCAUUUUAGCAUACCGUAAAUGCCUGUGCAUAAUGUGCAUAACAAAGCAUCAUUAUUUUCAUUAUCUUCAAAGGAUUUCUGUAGAAGCAGCCUUUAUUUUCAGACUCUGCAGGCCUGCUGGGAGGAAACAUAUUACAAUAAACAGAAGAAGCUCAUGGUCCACUAUCUGCUGCUCCAGAGUCAAGGCCAGGUCCCUCCCCAUGUCACCACGGAGCACAUGAGCAACUGGCUGGUGUCUCAGGGCAAAAAAUCUCUUAGGGAGAGGGUGUGGAAGGAAACCCUGGAGGAAGGAAACGACCUCACUCGGCUGG
This is a long non-coding RNA of Oncorhynchus kisutch (coho salmon), 1312 nucleotides long. RefSeq lists it as uncharacterized. The transcript is spliced from 3 exons. The record is from RefSeq and is a predicted model, not a curated record. Lineage: Eukaryota; Metazoa; Chordata; Actinopteri; Salmoniformes; Salmonidae.